UGAACAUUCAGAUUAAUUGGAAAUUUAUUCCGAAAGCAGCACCGUGGUACGGUGGAUGGUGGGAGAGACUAGUUGGAAUUACGAAAACGACAUUGAAAAAAAGUGCUCGGGAAAUCACAAGUAAAUUCUGACGUAUUACGAACAACUUUGAUAGAAAUUGAACGUGUAAUCAACGAUCGUCCGAUUACAUAUGUGUCGUCCGACAUCCGAGAUCCAGAGCCGCUAACGCCGUCACAUCUACUGCAGGGAAGAAGAUUAUCACAAGAGAACAAUUCUGAUUCAGAG
Molecule: long non-coding RNA, 285 nt
Filed under: Mytilus galloprovincialis (Mediterranean mussel)
Lineage: Eukaryota; Metazoa; Mollusca; Bivalvia; Mytilida; Mytilidae
Source: RNAcentral